Long non-coding RNA from Talpa occidentalis (Iberian mole), 417 nucleotides. RefSeq lists it as uncharacterized. Lineage: Eukaryota; Metazoa; Chordata; Mammalia; Eulipotyphla; Talpidae. The record is from RefSeq and is a predicted model, not a curated record. The transcript has 3 exons.
UCCAGGGUCCUGCAUUACAUUAAAUGUGUCCUCUGAUUUCUGACUGUUCCACAGUCUUUGUCUCUCAUGACCUUGGCACUUUUGAAGUGUACUCCUCAGGCGAGUGGGUGGUCACAGAAGAUGGCUGCUGCUUGAGGCCAAGGACCCAGAUCUGCUCCACCACACACUUGCUGAGAUAAUGACCCUUCUUAUCAGCACAGCUGGAAUAGACACAAAUGGCAUAAAGAAAGGAGAGGAAGAGGGAUUUGGAUUGGUCAUCAGGUCACCAUCCCCAGCCAUCUGCCAUUACCUGUUGAUCAAAACACCUGAAGAGAAUGAAAACUUCCUGUGCAAGAAUUGCUUCUGGUGGAGGUAUUGGAAUGAAUGGCCGUCAUCGAGAUAUAGUUCACCCAUGGCCGAACCCUGGAGAGUGAAUCA